This 497-nucleotide ribosomal RNA is filed under the name uncultured bacterium. Its description in RNAcentral is "partial 16S ribosomal RNA". It matches the Rfam family "Bacterial small subunit ribosomal RNA", at positions 28 to 507 of the family's 1533-position model. The record is from RNAcentral.
GAUGAACGCUGGCGGCGUGCCUAAUACAUGCAAGUCGAGCGAACAGACGAGGAGCUUGCUCCUCUGACGUUAGCGGCGGACGGGUGAGUAACACGUGGAUAACCUACCUAUAAGACUGGGAUAACUUCGGGAAACCGGAGCUAAUACCGGAUAACAUGUUGAACCGCAUGGUUUAACAGUGAAAGACGGUCUUGCUGUCACUUAUAGAUGGAUCCGCGCCGCAUUAGCUAGUUGGUAAGGUAACGGCUUACCAAGGCAACGAUGCGUAGCCGACCUGAGAGGGAGAACGGCCCCACUGAAACUGAGACACGGUCAAGACGCCGAAGGGAGGAAGAAAUAGGGAAUCUUCCGCAAUGGGCGAAGGCCUGUCGGAGCAACGACGCGUGAGUGAAGAAGGUCUUCGGAUCUUAAAACUCUGUUAUUAGGGAAGAACAAAUGUGUAAGUAACUAUGCACGUCUUGACGGUACCUAAUCAGAAGGCCACGGCUAACUACGUG